UGGCGCUCGGAGCGGCCGCAAGGUCGCGCCGGCGUGCCGGAAGAUGACCAAACUUGAUCAUUUAGAGGAAGUAAAAGUCGUAACAAGGUUUCCGUAGGUGAACCUGCGGAAGGAUCAUUACCGAACGGUUUUCGUAACCGAAUCUCAGUCCCCAACUGAGUCUUAGUUCGUUCCUCCAGGGACGAACGUUCGAACGUUCCUCUUCCGAGGGGGUCCGGUUCUGGGGGUACCUGGUCCUGUCUUGCACGCCAGUGCGAGAGGGGUGCCUCUUCCGAGGCGCUAGGUUUAAUGAGAGGUCGUUCUAGCCUCCGCCCCCCCGAGAACCUCUCGGAGCACGUCUCUCUCGGAGUCGUGGGCUGCGAAGGGCCCCGGGCCUCCCCUGCCAUGGGAGCGUCCACUCCUUGAGGCGUGUUUAAAGUUGUGAAAAACCUUCGCACUCUUCUCCUCCGAGAAGGGUUGGUCUUUUACUCGUGUUUGGUUAUUCGAAAGAGACUUUGUUCUCUUUGAAAAGAAUCAGAGUACAACUCUGAGCAGUGGAUCACUUGGCUCACGGGUCGAUGAAGAACGCAGCCAGCUGCGAGACUUGGUGUGAAUUGCAGGACACAUUGAGCACUGAUUUUUCGAACGCACAUUGCGGCCUCGGUUCCUACCCGGGGCCUCGCCUGUCUGAGGGUCGGAUGAGACUUGCCGAAGGGGAACCUGUUCCCCUACUUGGUCGCAUCGGGUUUUUUUUUGAAAAACUCGUCGACCUAAGAGCAGAUCGAGAGAUCUCCAGUCCCGACGAGUUCGGCGGCCCGCGGCCGUGGAAUUCGCGCGUUCUAGAGACACGGAACCGCCAGCCGUCGGCGUCCCGUCGUCCUCGUCGUGGGACUUGUGAAAUGUCGAC
Molecule: ribosomal RNA, 886 nt
Filed under: Aphonopelma mojave
Lineage: Eukaryota; Metazoa; Arthropoda; Arachnida; Araneae; Theraphosidae
Description: eukaryotic LSU rRNA
Rfam family: 5.8S ribosomal RNA (bases 523-676)
Source: RNAcentral